UGGGUGUCUCCUCUGGUUAAGCGUCCGACUUCGGCUCAGGUCCUGAUCUCGCGGUGCACAAGUUCGAGCCCCGCGUCGGGCUCUGGGCGGACAGCUCGGGGCCUGGAGCCCGCCUCGGAUUCUGUGUCUCCCCCUCUCUCAGGCCCUCCCCAUGCUCAUGCUCUGUCUCUCUCUCUCUGUCUCUCAAUAAUAAAUAAACGCUAGAAAUUGGAAACUGAGGCGCAGAAACUGAAGCAAUUAGCCCUGGUUGGGGGAACGGAAAGGUCACGCGCUGCAGCUCGAGACGAGAGUCAUGAGGUGCCGUGCAGAUGCUCCAUCCGUGGAGAGGUUCCGAACUGGAGCUUUGUGGGACUCCAGCCUUCUUCAGGGAGGAACAGGCAGAAGGAUGCUGGAGGAGACACCGCUUUCCCAUGGGACACCGUGUGCUAAGAGACUACGGAAGGACCCCCUGACAAGAGGUUUACAGAGCAGCCGUUGCUCAACUGGGGAAGCUGCUACGAGUGCGGGGUCUACAAGAGUGCACACAUCCGUCCCGCGAGAUGAUGCCCUCUGCCCGUGGGCUGGUCCUACAAGCAGACGCUUUGAGACGUUGGCUCUGCUUGGAUUUCCUUUUCUCCAUCCGAUAGCACUCACUUCUGCCACGGGAUAAUGUUUUCUAUUUAGGAAUCACAAUUGAAGAAGUGUUGAGCCACUUAGGCUUCCAGGAACUGUUGUUCGAAAACUUCAGAUGAAGGCGAAGCUACAAAGAGAAUCACAAGUGGGCUAAGUGUUUGCAGAGUAGAUGUCCGUAGCAGAUUGCUCGCGUCUGGGCAUUUAUGGACUUAUGCAAGGAUGAAUAGUCCCUUUUCGUUCACCCCACUCUUCCUUAGUCCCAUUGCUUAGGUCAGUAACGGACGAUGUAAUUGGGGAGCAGCCUAGAGACUAAAUCUACUCUUACCAUAUGUUCUGCAUGGCUCUAAAACACUAAGAGGUUUUAAUCACAGUAUAACCUAGUGGUAACUGGUUAUACGAGACCCACACAGUGGGGUCUUGGUAUAGAUUGGCUCUGUGAUGAACGCGAGCAGACCAACACAGUACAAGAGACCAGAAGAAGGAGGCCAGGCUGCUGGACACACGGAAGGAGGGUCUCCUUUCUCUGGAGGGUGACCCAGUGAGAUAUAAGACUCCUUCGGUAUUAAUAGUCUGUAGGUAUGCAUGACAGAGAAUGUCCUAGAUCUUCAUCACCUAAAAAAAGAAGAUAAGCCGUCAUUUCCAUGGAGUUCUGGACUGUGUUAGCGUUAAAGCAUCCCACAAAUGUCAGUCAGUGUUAUGCAGAUUGGGUACCUACCCAUCUGCGUUCCUCUGCUAAUGCCUAGUGAAGAUCCUAACUCACUUCUAAGAGGCUUGUGUACCCACAAGGCUCUGGACAUUAAAUAUAUAAUAGUGGGUUGGCUGUGAUUCAUUCCCAUGACGAUCCUUUUAAUUUGUCGGCCAAGAUCUAUGUGUGGAAUGGGGAUAAUGUUUCAGAAAGAGCCUUAUGCUGAUGCAGGCUCGGCAUGAAGGAAGGCAGGUGCUUGUUUCUGGCAGUUGUAGGAGGCACGAAUCCAGAAUGGAUUUGCAUCUUAUCUUUGUGUGUAUCAUUUAAUAUUUAUUGAGACCUUCCUAGGUUC
Molecule: long non-coding RNA, 1649 nt
Filed under: Felis catus (domestic cat)
Lineage: Eukaryota; Metazoa; Chordata; Mammalia; Carnivora; Felidae
Description: lncRNA (ENSFCAG00000047702.1)
Source: RNAcentral